This 433-nucleotide ribosomal RNA is filed under the name uncultured bacterium. RNAcentral describes it as "partial 16S ribosomal RNA". It matches the Rfam family "Bacterial small subunit ribosomal RNA", at positions 29 to 507 of the family's 1533-position model. The record is from RNAcentral.
AGCGAACGCUGGCGGCAGGCUUAACACAUGCAAGUCGAGCGGGCCCUUCGGGGUCAGCGGCAGACGGGUGAGUAACACGUGGGAACGUACCCUUUGGUUCGGAAUAACGCUGGGAAACUAGCGCUAAUACCGGAUACCCCCUUUUGGGGAAAGGCUUGCUGCCGAAGGAUCGGCCCGCGUCUGAUUAGCUAGUUGGUGGGGUAAUGGCCUACCAAGGCGACGAUCAGUAGCUGGUCUGAGAGGAUGAUCAGCCACACUGGGACUGAGACACGGCCCAGACUCCUACGGGAGGCAGCAGUGGGGAAUAUUGGACAAUGGGCGCAAGCCUGAUCCAGCCAUGCCGCGUGAGUGAUGAAGGCCUUAGGGUUGUAAAGCUCUUUUGUCCGGGACGAUAAUGACGGUACCGGAAGAAUAAGCCCCGGCUAACUUCGUG